GACCCAGUGGCGGAUGGUCCGCACCCGCGCUCUGUACGUGCUUGCAAGUUCUGCACGUGGGAGGUCCUGGUUCGACUCCAGGCUGGGUCA
Non-coding RNA from Mycena latifolia, 90 nucleotides. The record is from the annotation of a GenBank genome assembly. Lineage: Eukaryota; Fungi; Basidiomycota; Agaricomycetes; Agaricales; Mycenaceae.